GGCGACCGGCGAAUGGGUGAGUAACACGUAUCCAACCUGACCCGCACUCGGAGACAGCCUUCGAAAAGAAAGAUUAAUACCCGAUGCGGCCGCGUUCCCACAUGGGAUUGCGGUCAAAGAUUCAUCGGUGCGGGAUGGGGAUGCGCCUGAUUAGGCAGUUGACGGGGUAACGGCCCACCAAACCGACGAUCAGUAGGGGUUCUGAGAGGAAGGUCCCCCACAUUGGAACUGAGACACGGUCCAAACUCCUACGGGAGGCAGCAGUGAGGAAUAUUGGUCAAUGGGCGGAAGCCUGAACCAGCCAAGUAGCGUGCAGGACGACGGCCCUCUGGGUUGUAAACUGCUUUUGUGCGGGGGUAAAGUGACCCACGUGUGGGUUAUUGCAAGUACCGCACGAAUAAGCAUCGGCUAACUCCGUGCCAGCAGCCGCGGUAAUACGGAGGAUGCGAGCGUUAUCCGGAUUUAUUGGGUUUAAAGGGAGCGUAGGUGGCCGGUUAAGUCAGUUGUGAAAAGCAGGUGCUCAACAUCUGCCUUGCAGUUGAAACUGUCCGGCUUGAGCGUGUGAGAGGCAGGCGGAAUUCGUGGUGUAGCGGUGAAAUGCUUAGAUAUCACGAAGAACUCCGAUUGCGAAGGCAGCUUGCUGGCCCACGUCUGACACUAAUGCUCGAAAGUGCGGGUAUCGAACAGGAUUAGAUACCCUGGUAGUCCGCACAGUAAACGAUGAAUACUCGCUGUUUGCGAUAGAAUGUAAGCGGCCAAGCGAAAGCGUUAAGUAUUCCACCUGGGGAGUACGCCGGCAACGGUGAAACUCAAAGGAAUUGACGGGGGCCCGCACAAGCGGAGGAACAUGUGGUUUAAUUCGAUGAUACGCGAGGAACCUUACCCGGGCUUGAAUUGCAUACGACGUGCGCGGAGACGCGCAUCCGGCAGGG
RNAcentral lists this ribosomal RNA (932 nucleotides) under uncultured bacterium. RNAcentral's name for it is "bacterial SSU rRNA". It matches the Rfam family "Bacterial small subunit ribosomal RNA", at positions 90 to 1022 of the family's 1533-position model. The record is from RNAcentral.